Molecule: long non-coding RNA, 1366 nt
Organism: Herpailurus yagouaroundi (jaguarundi)
Lineage: Eukaryota; Metazoa; Chordata; Mammalia; Carnivora; Felidae
Exons: 2
Source: RefSeq, a predicted model, not a curated record
CCAAGGGAAUGUGCAAGUGUGGAGGCAGAAUAAUUCAUGUGCUCAAAACAUUUUCCACGAUGUGUUUUUUUCAGGUUAAUGUCAAGACCUCACGGUGACUUUAUCAAUGAUAACGAAUGUGGGACAUUGCUGGAAUGGAGGUAAGUGAUCCUGUGGGUCUAAACCACAGCACAUACCAUCCAGCUUUCAUAAAUCGAGGUAAAUGCUGAGUGUCCUUACACUUCCUGUUACCAUGAAUUUUUUGAAGGUGUGCGGGUAAGAAAUGAUAGAGUCCUUACCAAUUCCAAAGACCCUGUUUCUCUGCUUUCUGUAUUUCAGGACAUGUUCAUUUUUAAUCCUCUGAGUGUUGAGGGACUGCACGUAUACAGGUAUUUAUCAUGAUAUUGCCUGUCAAAGUCCUACUCAUAGGCUAUUUGCAGGUGUCCAAUCAUAGAAUGAUGGUCUUAUCCGAUACUGGUAUUAACCUUGGAUUACUGUAAGUAUCCAGUAGAGUUGAUGUGUCUCAUGAUGAUGAAGUGAACACUGUUAUUUGCAGGUUUCCUGGUAGGAAAAAGCUAUGUCCUUCAACACACGCUCAUAAUGUCUUUCCAGCUUCCAGUCACGAAUUGAUGAAUCUAACAUUGCUCAUCAGUGGGGAUGUUCCUAGUGUGCAGGUAAGUGAUGACGUGGGCCUAGACCCACGUCUAGCUGGGUAAGUGAUGAAGGUUUCCCUAACAAUUGUUACCAUUUUUCUUUGCAAGUAUUCAGGUAGGAAAUAGUCGUUACCAAUUCUGGAAACCCUGAGUUUUUUCUUUUUAUAUUUUAGAGAAAAUUUUAUUUUAUUCUUGUGUGUGAUGAGGGGUUGCCAUAUUCAGGUAGUGAUCAUGAUGUUUCUAACCCUAGCCAUAACCAUGGGAAUUUUGCAUGUGUUUCAUAAUGAAAUGUUGUUAUAUCUGAUCAUGAUCUUGACCUUGGUUGGAAUACUGCAAAUAUUUAGGUGGAAUUGAUGUUCUACUGAUGAAGGAAGCGUCUAAGGUAAUUAAUUUGAGGUUUCUUGCUGCAAGUUCUGUCUUUUUACACAUCCGUAAUGUGUUUUUCAGAUUCCUGCCGAAAGAUCAAGAUGAAACCAAUGGUUAAUGGGGGACAUUUCUGGUAUCCAGAUAGGUUAUGACGUAUACCUUCACCACAUCAGACCAUCUGAUCGUCACAUAUCUAGGUAUCCCUUCAAGAGAGGAAAGUGUGUCUGACUAGGGUUUAACUUCAGAGUUCUGGAAGUGUCCAGGUAAUGUUUAUGGGUCUCCAAAGGAUACAAGUGACCAGGGAAUUUGCAGGUGCGUGGGUAGAAUGAGACAUGUCCCAAACGUAAACCACAGUAUGUCUUUCAGAA